AUGCACUCUUGCUUCCUGCCUUUUCUAGAAGAUGAUGACCUUGUCCAUCAUGAUGACACCUCUAUGGCCAAUGGAAGUGAUCUUGUUGCCCACCCUGAUGAGCACAACCAGAUGGUGAACCAGGAAGGUGAUGACAACCAGCCUCUUCAGUUGUUAUUAUGUGCACUUAGUAGAGGAGCAAUGGGAAGGGGGGGGGGUAUGGGGGAAGGUCUCAAUAGGAUCAGUCGAGCCCGGAGGGCCAAAAUGCCACUCAUUAUUCCGGAAGGAAAGAUAAGGCCGAAGUUGCCUCUUCUUGCUGCAAAGUUUGCAACUGAAUGCAAUAUCGUUGUCAGAAACCAUGUGCCUGUGCUUCAGUGCUGGAAGGAUUACAAGAAAAAGGACAACACUGGGAUCUUCCAAUAUUUUGUUGGCAAAGUUGGGCAGAUUACUAUCGUUGCUCUUAUAGUCCAGCUGUUAGCAUUUAGAUGCGGCAGCCUUGGCCGAGAUGAUCGCCGGAACUUCUGA
Molecule: ribosomal RNA, 504 nt
Filed under: Triticum aestivum (bread wheat)
Lineage: Eukaryota; Viridiplantae; Streptophyta; Magnoliopsida; Poales; Poaceae
Description: partial small subunit ribosomal RNA
Source: RNAcentral